This 499-nucleotide long non-coding RNA is filed under the name Bemisia tabaci. RNAcentral describes it as "lncRNA ENSASIAIIG005893". Lineage: Eukaryota; Metazoa; Arthropoda; Insecta; Hemiptera; Aleyrodidae. The record is from RNAcentral.
UAGCUGGAUAGCUUCACAUCGCCCAGUCGUUAGUGGUUGUCAAUUCCUACAACUAAUGUAAGUAAUGUAUGUUGUGAUUUGCGGGUAGUAACUGGAGUGCGUUUGUCUGGCUGUGUUUUUUCUCAAAAUGGCUAAAGACGUGGAGUUUAUUUGUGUUGUGCUGUGAAAUGUGCAUUGAACAACUUACGCAAAGGAUUAUUUAACGAUGGCCGAGUUCAGUAUCGAUGUUUCCUGCUUACCGGAGGACGUCCGGGAAAAACUAGCCGAGCUCGAUCUCGAAUUAUCUGAAGGUACGUUGUCCACACAUGCACGGAUUAAUGUAUCGAUGGACUCUCGGUAAGCGGUCGUAAGCUUGUUAACUUGAAAACUAGAUAUUGUUGAACCCGAGGUGUAACGUAAAUGUAAGUAGGAUUUUGUUUUUUUUUUUGUUUUUUUUUUUUUUUUUUAUGGAUCUUCUUAGUUUCAAAAUAAGUUCAUAGUGCGAAGUGAGAGAAGCAUU